AACAAGUAGCAUGUUCUGUUUUUGAUCUCGCCAGUUUUUUGUUUCCCGCAUAUCGCUGACCAGUCAUCAUAAGAUGUUCUGGCGGCACAUUUAAAGAUUGAAUUCAGGAAAGUAUAUUAUGUCAACUGUUACCGGUAACGUUAAGUUUUUCAACGAAGCAAAAGGUUUUGGCUUUAUCACUCGCGAAAGCGGCCCAGACGUUUUUGUUCACUACAGCUCCAUUAAGGGCGACGGCUUCAAGACUCUGGCCGAAGGCCAAGAAGUUGAGUUCACCGUUACUCAGGGCGAGAAAGGCCCACAGGCGGAAAACGUAGUUGCUGUGUAAAUAACACGCAACACGCAGUGAAAAAGGCAGCUUCGGCUGCCUUUUUUCG
RNAcentral lists this small RNA (374 nucleotides) under Marinobacter antarcticus. Its description in RNAcentral is "Marinobacter sp. ZS2-30 cspA thermoregulator". It matches the Rfam family "cspA thermoregulator". Lineage: Bacteria; Pseudomonadati; Pseudomonadota; Gammaproteobacteria; Pseudomonadales; Marinobacteraceae. The record is from Rfam by way of RNAcentral.